RNAcentral lists this transfer RNA (73 nucleotides) under Gammaproteobacteria bacterium. RNAcentral's name for it is "tRNA-Thr". It matches the Rfam family "tRNA". From Rfam's summary of the family: Transfer RNA (tRNA) molecules are approximately 80 nucleotides in length. Lineage: Bacteria; Pseudomonadati; Pseudomonadota; Gammaproteobacteria. The record is from RNAcentral.
GCCCAUAUAGCUCAGUUGGUAGAGCACUUCCUUGGUAAGGAAGAGGUCACCGGUUCAAAUCCGGUUAUGGGCU